CUGUCUCACCCUUUUCAACUUCUGAGGAACCCAAGGCGGCUUACAUAGCUCCAUUUUAUCCUCACAACAGCCCUCGAAGGAAGGUGGCUGCAGAGAUAGCAAGCCCGUAAUGCAGGUGUUGCCAUGGUGCUUUUCCUCCACAGCCCCUGAGGAAGCCAAAUCCAUAAUACAGCAGUAUAAAUUCUGCCCAGAACUGUGGAGACAUUUGAAAAGGGCAG
Molecule: long non-coding RNA, 218 nt
Organism: Varanus komodoensis (Komodo dragon)
Lineage: Eukaryota; Metazoa; Chordata; Lepidosauria; Squamata; Varanidae
Exons: 3
Source: RefSeq, a predicted model, not a curated record